AGGGUUUCACGUAGCAUGCCUGGCUUGUGUGUCGAUGAAGAACGCAGGUAACUGCAAGAUUUUAAUGUAAAUUGCAGGACACAUUGGUCAUUGACAUUUCAAAUGCACUUGCGGCCCUGGGUUUCUCCCAGGGCUAUGUCUGUCUGAGCAUCA
RNAcentral lists this ribosomal RNA (153 nucleotides) under Sphenodon punctatus (tuatara). RNAcentral's name for it is "5.8S ribosomal RNA (ENSSPUG00000004746.1)". It matches the Rfam family "5.8S ribosomal RNA". Rfam says of the family: 5.8S ribosomal RNA (5.8S rRNA) is a component of the large subunit of the eukaryotic ribosome. Lineage: Eukaryota; Metazoa; Chordata; Lepidosauria; Sphenodontia; Sphenodontidae. The record is from Rfam by way of RNAcentral.